RNAcentral lists this ribosomal RNA (489 nucleotides) under uncultured bacterium. RNAcentral's name for it is "bacterial SSU rRNA". It matches the Rfam family "Bacterial small subunit ribosomal RNA", at positions 58 to 507 of the family's 1533-position model. The record is from RNAcentral.
CAAGUCGAGCGAGCUUGCCUAGAUGAUUUGGUGCUUGCACUAAAUGAAACUAGAUACAAGCGAGCGGCGGACGGGUGAGUAACACGUGGGUAACCUGCCCAAGAGACUGGGAUAACACCUGGAAACAGAUGCUAAUACCGGAUAACAANACUAGACGCAUGUCUAGAGUUUGAAAGAUGGUUCUGCUAUCACUCUUGGAUGGACCUGCGGUGCAUUAGCUAGUUGGUAAGGUAACGGCUUACCAAGGCAAUGAUGCAUAGCCGAGUUGAGAGACUGAUCGGCCACAUUGGGACUGAGACACGGCCCAAACUCCUACGGGAGACAGCAGUUAGGAAUAUUCGUCAAUGGGGGGAACCCUGAACGAGCAAUGCCGCGUGAGUGAUGACGGUCCUCUGGAUUGUAAAACUCUGUUGUUUGGAAAGAAUUGUAAGAAGAGGAAAUGCUUCUUAUUUGACGGUACCAUUCAAGAAAGCCACGGCUAACUACGUG